UGGGGAAUAUUGCGCAAUGGGCGAAAGCCUGACGCAGCGACGCCGCGUGAGGGAAGAAGGCCUUCGGGUCGUAAACCUCUGUCUGGAGGAAAGAAACCCAUGGGUUCAAAUAGGGCUCAUGGCUGACGGUACCUCCGAAGGAAGCACCGGCUAACUCCGUGCCAGCAGCCACGGUAAUACGGAGGGUGCAAGCGUUAAUCGGAAUCACUGGGCGUAAAGCGCACGUAGGCUGUCUUGCAAGUCAGACGUGAAAGCCCUCGGCUCAACCGGGGAACUGCGUUUGAAACUGCAUGACUUGAGUACAGGAGAGGAUGGCAGAAUUCCGGGUGUAGGGGUGAAAUCCGUAGAUAUCCGGAGGAAUACCAGUGGCGAAGGCGGCCAUCUGGACUGUCACUGACGCUGAGGUGCGAAAGCGUGGGGAGCAAACAG
Molecule: ribosomal RNA, 429 nt
Filed under: uncultured bacterium
Lineage: Bacteria
Description: bacterial SSU rRNA
Rfam family: Bacterial small subunit ribosomal RNA
Source: RNAcentral